This 347-nucleotide unclassified non-coding RNA is filed under the name soil metagenome. RNAcentral's name for it is "partial contains 5.8S ribosomal RNA, internal transcribed spacer 2, and large subunit ribosomal RNA". The stretch from base 1 to 120 matches the Rfam family "5.8S ribosomal RNA", at positions 35 to 154 of the family's 154-position model. The record is from RNAcentral.
GAUGAAGAACGUAGCAAAAUGCGAUAAGUAAUGUGAAUUGCAGAAUUCAGUGAAUCAUCGAAUCUUUGAACGCACAUUGCGCCCUCUGGUAUUCCGGAGGGCAUGCCUGUCCGAGCGUCAUUGCUGCCCUCCAGCCCGGCUGGUGUGUUGGGCCCCGUCCCCCUUCCCGGGGGGACGGGCCCGAAAGGCAGCGGCGGCACCGCGUCCGGUCCUCGAGCGUAUGGGGCUUUGUCACCCGCUCUUGUAGGCCCGGCCGGCGCCAGCCGACCCCCUCAAUCUAUUUUUCAGGUUGACCUCGGAUCAGGUAGGGAUACCCGCUGAACUUAAGCAUAUCAAUAAGCGGAGGA